GACGAACGCUGGCGGCGUGCUUAACACAUGCAAGUCGAGCGGUAAGGCCCUUUCGGGGGUACGACGAGCGGCGAACGGGUUGAGUAACACGUGGGUGACCUGCCCUCAGCUCUGGGAUAAGCCUGGGAAACCGGGUCUAAUACUGGAUAUGACUCCAUGACGCAUGUUGUGGGGUGGAAAGCCUUGUGCGGCUGAGGAUGGGCCCGCGGCCUAUCAGCUUGUUGGUGGGGUGAGGCCUACCAAGGCGACGACGGGUA
This 257-nucleotide ribosomal RNA is filed under the name uncultured bacterium. RNAcentral's name for it is "partial 16S ribosomal RNA". It matches the Rfam family "Bacterial small subunit ribosomal RNA", at positions 28 to 285 of the family's 1533-position model. The record is from RNAcentral.